AUGACUCCAGCUGCAUGCAGGUAGGAUGAAGUCUUUUCCAUCCUGUGCCGCCCUAGACUGCACCCUGCGUGUCCUCCAAGAGCAGUUCAGCUGAGGAGUCUUCUAGCUGUCACCUCUUAGGUCCUCCCAGCCACCCUGCAGCACUCCCACUACAGAGCCAGUGGCUCUGUUAGAAGACAGCUCAGUGUCUUCUCCUUGGGAAAGACCUUCUCUGAGCCUUGGCUCUCCCAUGGCUUUCAACAGGAUUCCUCAUUGCUCUUGUAUGCAAACAGGACGGGUGGAAAUUUGCUCUUGAUAUUUUGAUGA
RNAcentral lists this long non-coding RNA (306 nucleotides) under Anas platyrhynchos platyrhynchos (common mallard). RNAcentral describes it as "lncRNA (ENSAPLG00000029160.1)". Lineage: Eukaryota; Metazoa; Chordata; Aves; Anseriformes; Anatidae. The record is from RNAcentral.